Molecule: long non-coding RNA, 1061 nt
Filed under: Homo sapiens (human)
Lineage: Eukaryota; Metazoa; Chordata; Mammalia; Primates; Hominidae
Description: non-protein coding lnc-CDY1B-2:3
Source: RNAcentral
CGGGGAAGGCCAUGCAUCAUCUGCUACCCUGGAGGAUCUGGAGCCAGUACCGAGAACUAGCAGUGGCCCUGCACUCAAGCUCCGCAAUAAUCAGUCAACUCAGUGAAAACAUCAAUUCACUGCUGAACCCCUGGCCCCAGAGCCCCCAGCAGGGCCCUCUGAGGUGGAGCAGCUACAAGAUGAGACCAACCACCUAAGGAAGGAGCUGGAGAGUGUGGGAAGACAGCUCCAGGCUGAGGUGGAAAACAAUCAGAUGUUGAGUCUCCUGAACAGGAGACAGGAGGAGAGGCUGCAGGAACAGGAGAGGCUGCUGGACAAGGGGUAGGAGCUGCUGGAACAGGAGAGGCUUCAGGAGCAGGAUGAGAGGCUGUGGCAGCAGGAGACUCUGUGGGAGCUGGAGAGGAUGCUGGAGCUGGAGUGGGAAGCCCUCUACAAGCAGCAGGCCGAGCCCCACAGCAGCUUUGAGGAGCUGGAAUAAUGAGAACAAGAGUGCACUGCAGUUGGAGCGGCAAGUAAAGGAGCUGAAGCUUGGAGAACCUGGAAGCUACCAGCCAGCAGAAACAGCAGCUAAAGCCCAGUUGAGCCUCAUGGCUCUCCCUGGGGAAGGAUAUGGAGGAGGACAUCUGGACAAUGAGGAGGAGGCACCUCGGCCCAUGCUGAACAUUCCAGGGGACCUGGAGAGCCGGGAGGCCAUGGUGGCAUUUUUCAACUCCGCUGGAGCCAGUGCCCAGGAGGAGCAAAGCGUGUGCUGCCAGCCCCUGGCUCACCCAGUGGCCUCAUCCCAGAAAAAGCCAGAGGCAGCGGCCCCAGCCCCAGAGACUGGGGGUGAAUCUGUGUGUGGGGACACCCACUGGGCCCUGCAGGAGGCCAUGGAGAAGCUGCAGCAACUUUAUGGAAGGAGAAGAUGGACCUGAAGGAGCUGGUGGAGAAACUAGAGCUUCAGUUCAUCCACCUCUCAGGACAGACAGACACCAUGAGAAAGUACAUCAGCCAGGGGGCAGUGCCAAAGACGCAGCACUGGGAGAGGAGGACAUCGUCAGGCUGGCCCAGGACCAGGAGGA